CCUGGCUCAGAUUGAACGCUGGCGGCAUGCCUUACACAUGCAAGUCGAACGGUAGAGUAGCAAUACUCGAGAGUGGCGAACGGGUGAGUAAUAUAUCGGAACGUGCCCAGUCGUGGGGGAUAACGUAGAGAAAUUUACGCUAAUACCGCAUACGAUCUACGGAUGAAAGCGGGGGAUUCGCAAGAACCUCGCGCGAUUGGAGCGGCUGAUAUCAGAUUAGGUUGUUGGUGAGGUAAAAGCUCACCAAGCCGACGAUCUGUAGCUGGUUUGAGAGAACGACCAGCCACACUGGGACUGAGACACGGCCCAGACUCCUACGGGAGGCAGCAGUGGGGAAUUUUGGACAAUGGGCGCAAGCCUGAUCCAGCCAUUCCGCGUGAGUGAAGAAGGCCUUCGGGUUGUAAAGCUCUUUCGCAAGGGAAGAAAACUUAUCCUCUAACAUAGGAUGAGGUUGACGGUACCUUGAUAAGAAGCACCGGCUAACUACGUGCCAGCAGCCGCGGUAAUACGUAGGGUGCGAGCGUUAAUCGGAAUUACUGGGCGUAAAGCGUGCGCAGGC
RNAcentral lists this ribosomal RNA (559 nucleotides) under uncultured bacterium. Its description in RNAcentral is "bacterial SSU rRNA". It matches the Rfam family "Bacterial small subunit ribosomal RNA", at positions 18 to 576 of the family's 1533-position model. The record is from RNAcentral.